This 496-nucleotide ribosomal RNA is filed under the name uncultured bacterium. Its description in RNAcentral is "partial 16S ribosomal RNA". It matches the Rfam family "Bacterial small subunit ribosomal RNA", at positions 28 to 506 of the family's 1533-position model. The record is from RNAcentral.
GAUGAACGCUGGCGGCGUGCCUAAUACAUGCCAGUCGAGCGAACAGAUGAGGAGCUUGCUCCUCUGACGUUAGCGGCGGACGGGUGAGUAACACGUGGAUAACCUACCUAUAAGACUGGGAUAACUUCGGGAAACCGGAGCUAAUACCGGAUAAUAUAUUGAACCGCAUGGUUCAAUAGUGAAAGACGGUUUUGCUGUCACUUAUAGAUGGAUCCGCGCCGCAUUAGCUAGUUGGUAAGGUAACGGCUUACCAAGGCAACGAUGCGUAGCCGACCUGAGAGGGUGAUCGGCCACACUGGAACUGAGACACGGUCCAGACUCCUACGGGAGGCAGCAGUAGGGAAUCUUCCGCAAUGGGCGAAAGCUUGACGGAGCAACGCCGCGUGAGUGAUGAAGGUCUUCGGAUCGUAAAACUCUGUUAUUAGGGAAGAACAAAUGUGUAAGUAACUAUGCACGUCUUGACGGUACCUAAUCAGAAAGCCACGGCUAACUACGU